UACGUAGGGCGCAAGCGUUGUCCGGAAUCAUUGGGCGUAAAGAGCUCGUAGGCGGUCUGUCGCGUCGGCUGUGAAAACCCGGAGCUCAACUCCGGGCCUGCAGUCGAUACGGGCAGACUGGAGUUCGGCAGGGGAGACUGGAAUUCCUGGUGUAGCGGUGAAAUGCGCAGAUAUCAGGAGGAACACCGGUGGCGAAGGCGGGUCUCUGGGCAGUAACUGACGCUGAGGAGCGAAAGCGUGGGGAGCGAACAGG
This 253-nucleotide ribosomal RNA is filed under the name uncultured bacterium. RNAcentral's name for it is "partial 16S ribosomal RNA". It matches the Rfam family "Bacterial small subunit ribosomal RNA", at positions 524 to 776 of the family's 1533-position model. The record is from RNAcentral.